This 434-nucleotide ribosomal RNA is filed under the name uncultured bacterium. RNAcentral's name for it is "bacterial SSU rRNA". It matches the Rfam family "Bacterial small subunit ribosomal RNA", at positions 355 to 804 of the family's 1533-position model. The record is from RNAcentral.
UGGGGAAUAUUGGACAAUGGGCGAAAGCCUGAUCCAGCAAUGCCGCGUGAGUGAUGAAGGCCUUAGGGUUGUAAAGCUCUUUUACCAGGGAUGAUAAUGACAGUACCUGGAGAAUAAGCUCCGGCUAACUCCGUGCCAGCAGCCGCGGUAAUACGGAGGGAGCUAGCGUUGUUCGGAAUUACUGGGCGUAAAGCGUACGUAGGCGGUUAUUCAAGUCAGAGGUGAAAGUCCGGGGCUCAACCCCGGAACGGCCUUUGAAACUAGAUAGCUAGAAUCUUGGAGAGGUCAGUGGAAUUCCGAGUGUAGAGGUGAAAUUCGUAGAUAUUCGGAAGAACACCAAAUGCGAAGGCAGCAUACUGGGACAUUCCUGACACUGAGGCACGAAAGCGUGGGUAGCGAAAAGGAUUAGAUACCCACGUAGUCCCUGAGCGGGC